AGAAAUCACUGCAAGCAAAAUUGGAUAAGUUCACCAUUGUCAAUGAGGAGGUGAUCACAAAAUAUGAAAAUUCUCCAAUGCUCAGUCACAUGCUGCAAUUCCUUAAAAUUGAGGAAAUGAAGUUGAAGACAAUGCUUAAACAAAAAAUUGUUGAGCUAAAAAAAACAUUUUACGCAUCUCUUCCUGAAUCCAUUAAAAGCACAAUGCUGCAAGUCUAUAUGAGUGCUGCUGCCAUGACUGGAACCGGCUCUAUGAAGAAGAAGCAGGUUGAGCUGUUGGAAUAUAUAGAAUCAUCAAAGAGUUAAAUGUUCCAGAGGCAAAGAGAGAAAUGAUUGAACUGAUGGAUAGGACAAUGCAUUCCACUGUGGAGGAAAUAAAAAUUGGACUAAUGGAGUCAAUGGAGUAUUCACUUCUUAAUGCCAACACCUUGUCCUUCAUGGAUGUCUCCAAAGAGACAGAAGAACUGAAGAAGUUAUCCACUUAUGUCUGUGAUUAAUUAUCUACUAAAGAAAAGAGUUUUUUGAAACUCCACUCGUCUUCAAUUCAGUAUGUUAUCAGUCAGCAGAUAUUCGCCUGCUUUGUAGGUCUAAAUCUCACUAUUUAGAAUGUCUUUUUAGUUGCUUUGGGGUCUCACUUCAUUGUACAAUUUUUAAUUCUGAAUCUGCGUAUACCUCUCUAUUAGCUAUGAUUUUUUUUUAAUCUAUGUGCUAAAAAUGGCAUCCACAAUAACUGGAACAUGUGAUGAGGUGAAGUCUGAUCUCAGAGCUGUCACUGUUGAGCACCAGCUGGCCUAAAUCUGAAUACCUUUUCAACGGCACCACAGCAUUUUUGUGGAUUCCUGACCAUUUUCAAGUCAGAGGUUUAUUUAUUACGGUUUUAAACAAAACAUUUUAUCAUAAAAAUCAGAAAAUGUGGCCAUUACUCAGCAAUGGAUGUGAUAUCUGCCUAAAAAAACAUACCCAGGUAACAUUAGCUAAAAGUUAAACACACUUCCCUGUACGAUUUUGCAAGUCACUCCUUUUCUUCGAAAGGCUCAAGCAUGAUAAGUUAGUGAAAUAUAUUACAUUCAAGGACAUUUACAAGAAUUAGCCAAUACACUGUUAUAUAUUUACUCACUUUCCAUUUAACAUUAGUCACCAAUGCCAAAUGUCUUUUUUGUAAGCUUGUUUGAAAACUGCAGCAGCCAGAUUUGGAUUCAUCUGUGUGUCUUUUGUUAUUUUAUGUUUUGCCUUAACUGCUAAUUCUUACUCUUACCAACAUAAUUGUACUUCUGCCAAAUAUGACCAUCAAAUCUAAGUGUAAAUUUAAGUCA
Molecule: long non-coding RNA, 1312 nt
Organism: Colossoma macropomum (tambaqui)
Lineage: Eukaryota; Metazoa; Chordata; Actinopteri; Characiformes; Serrasalmidae
Exons: 5
Source: RefSeq, a predicted model, not a curated record